GGUCAUGGCUGCAGUGGUUUGAGUGUUGGACUUUGACUCUGGAGUCUAGGGUUCAAUUCCCAGCUUGGCCA
This 71-nucleotide transfer RNA is filed under the name Phrynosoma platyrhinos (Desert horned lizard). RNAcentral's name for it is "tRNA-OTHER". Lineage: Eukaryota; Metazoa; Chordata; Lepidosauria; Squamata; Phrynosomatidae. The record is from RNAcentral.